UAGUGCUACAAUGCAAUCUUUCUGGAGACACCAGCACCCAAAGGUGAUAAGCGUUUGGAGGAACUUCUCCAUUUCUUCUCCAUCCCUCAAUAGAGAAAGACAGGAAGGAUGAGAGGUUGACCUCAGCUACAAAAUUAUACACUUCAGUCCUGUCAAGUGGAACCUUAUUAAAUUCUGUCAGCAGGAAUCAGGUCCUUGGCAUAGCAGAGUGACUUAUGAAUGUUAGUUCCUCGUCUUGUCUUCUGAGAUACUUCUGUAAAUCUCCCUUGAGACCUCUGGACUGAGAAGUCAAAGAUAAAACAUUGUUUGUGAAAAAUGUUCUUCAAGUAGUAACUGGAUGUCUCUGCAGUUUACUGAUUGUGUGUUUCUAUUUUGGUGCAUUAUGUUUGAAUUAUUUAAUCCCUUUAAUUUCUGGAGAGGUCUUUAAUGAACCAGAUUAAAAUAUAUUGCAUUUUGGAAUGUGUAUUGUAGGAUUCAUGUAUUUUCAUCUACUAGUUUCUUCAAGGUUGUUGUUGGUCCUUUUCUGCUGAUGAGAUUGACAAGGCUGGGAGUUGUGAAAAGGUUGGGAAAGUAUGGAUUGUAACUGCUCAGAUGUUUUUCUGUGCAGGUUUCAGGUAGUAAUAGGGUCUGCAUAAUUUUGAAUAUAAGUAUAAAUUUAUGUUGAAAAAAUGUUCAAUCUACUUUAUCACUUUUUUUUUUUUUUUUUUUUUUUGAGGUAUAAUUGCUAUAACCACUGCUCCUAGAUUGUAACAAUGCACGCUAACACCAAAAUCAAUUCAAAAUCUAAGGGAGAUACUUUAUUUAGUGUUAAAAGCUUUGGAAAUUUCAAGAAAAAGUUUGUCUAUCUGA
Molecule: long non-coding RNA, 849 nt
Organism: Oxyura jamaicensis (ruddy duck)
Lineage: Eukaryota; Metazoa; Chordata; Aves; Anseriformes; Anatidae
Exons: 2
Source: RefSeq, a predicted model, not a curated record